RNAcentral lists this long non-coding RNA (11575 nucleotides) under Amborella trichopoda. RNAcentral describes it as "long non-coding RNA (ATRI_LNC000949)". The record is from RNAcentral. Lineage: Eukaryota; Viridiplantae; Streptophyta; Magnoliopsida; Amborellales; Amborellaceae.
UUACAAUGUUACAUGGAUAUCUCCUCGACGUUCACGUGAUCUUGUCGCCAAGAAGAAAAAAGAAAUAAAGCUGAAGGACAUUUUUUGAAUUUUGUCCUUCAUUCUUCUCUCAAAGCACAACAUUCGGCGGGGCAAGCUAUUUGAAGAUAUUUUUCAGCAUCUAGGGUCCCCGAUGCAGAAUAAAAGAGAAGCCGGUGAAUACAGCCCUGAUUUAUAGUAGAAUUUUUGACAGUCUCAAAAUUUCUCCAGAACGAGUGAAAAUAUUCUUAAGGACUUCAAAAGGCCACCUGCCAAGUUUCAUCGCAAUCUGACAUGUCUAAGGCAGUGCAGACAAAGAAAUUGUUUUGAAAAAAUUGAUCUCUAACACCCUGAAACGGACCCUAUAAUUGGAACCCUAUUAAUGGAGAGUCAAAUGGUUGCAGGACCAUCGCCAUUAGAUCUGACACAAUCGAAAACCUCUAUGGGUCAAAUUUCGGCUUAAACAGACGUUUCAAGAUAAAGUUAUGGGCAAAAGACUGAAAAAUGAGAGCUGCACCUCCCUGCACCAAUCUCCAUUAAAGAAUAUUGGUUUUUACAGUCAUGAACAAUAACUUUGAAGACUCAUAUCUCCUUCGUUUUAAGUCGAAUCGACCCCAAAUUUUGGAAGCAUGUUCGUCUCGUGAAGGCGAACAUUUUGAUAUGUGACACAGCCUGUGACGACACCCGAGCAGAGAGAAAAGCUAAAGAGAAGUUAGUGAUUCGUAAUCAAGGUUGCAGGAAAAUCAGCAGUAGCACGACCCACUCGAGUGGCCAUAUCACGUGCUCCAGUACCCGAUCGAUGCGAAACCAAUUGAAUUACGUGCGUAAGGUCUAGAGCUAUGUCUGGUCCGAACCUCGCGCGUGGUAAAUGAUUAGAUUUGGCGUACAAAGGUGUUAAAGUUUCUGCAAAAUUCCAGCUGUCGGAAUUCAAAUUCCGUCCAAUACCCAAAAAUUUUAAAAUCUUCGUUCGAAUACGAAAUCGGGCUGUGUUUGUUGCAAAUCAAUUAUGGUGGCAUGCUCAGUGCAAUUUAGCGAAGAAAUCACGAAAAUACAUCAAGACAUAAGCACGAUAUCGAUCCAAAGUUUUAAAGUUUCUUACGAAUUUCGAGUUGCAUGAUCGUGGCCAAAAAACACGGUUUGUGUUUCGAAGUUGGUAUCAAAUUGAUUGUUAUGCCGAGCCCAACGAGAAAACAAUUAUCUUUUGGCGAAACGGGCACCGGAGCCACCCUGAAUCGGGCUAGAAAAAUCGCACAUAUUCUAUGAGUGCAACAAGGACCGUUUUGAAAUUUUAUAUAUUGUUGGGAAGGGGUAAAAUCGGCAUUUUACCCCUAUUUAUUUAUAUAAUUUUUAAAUCAAAUAAAUUGUAUUUUUUAGUGAUACCCACUGCGACAUGCCGUUUUGCUUAAAAACCUUUACUUUUCUUUAUGCACCCUCACGUCCACCUGCUCCCUGUAUACCCUCGUGUCCACCUUCUCCCUGCAUGGUCACUCCCCCGCCGUGCACCCUCACGAGCAUCUUUUCCUCUUUUCCCAGUGGUCCCACGCGACCACCGUUUCCAAAACCUCCCUUUCACUGCCGUUCGUGACAAAACACCCACUUUCCCUUCUUUUCGUUGUUUUGUUUUGUUUCGAUAAACUUCGUUUCACUCCCCUCACGAUAUUUCGUUGAACCCAAAUAACCCAAUGAAACCAUCUCUCUCUCUCUCUCUCCUCUCUCUGUCUCUCCUAACCAAAGCACCUCUUCUCUAUUGUAAACAAUCUACUUUUUGUCAUUCACACAAAAAACCAGCAGCAAAUUUUUUCUCCCUUUUAACUAAUCUUCACUAUCUUCGUUUUAUUAUUAUUUUUUUUUGACACCAUCCCAUCUUAUUUUAUUUCGUCUAUCCUUUUCUUUUCAUUUUGUUCCAUUUUACUCCCUCCCUUUCAUUUAUUUCAUUCACUUCAUUUUACCCCUUUUGUUCUAUUUACUUUAUCUCACUUGUUUACCCCAUCAUACCUUAUUCUAUUUCAUUAUUUAUUUUAUUUUAAUGGUCUCAUCUCAUUUUAUUCUCUUCCAUCCCUUUUAUUUAUAUUUUACUCCAUUUCAUUUUAUUUAUUUUACUUCACUUCAUUCUAUUUUAAUUUAUUUAAUUCUAAUUCUAUUUUCUAGUUUUAUUUUAUUUUAAUUCAUCCAAGUUAUUUUCAUCUCAUUUUCCAUCACUGUUAUUUCACUUUCAUCUCUUUUGGAAGACCUAGUGAGAGUCAAGCUAGUCUUCACCUCCCCUCUUUCUCUCAUUCGAUCGUUUGACUAGAGGGCAGGUUGAGCCUUGUGCUCGCGCUAGUCUUGUCUUCGAACAGUUUAACUGUCGUGCCGGUCUGAGUCACCGUGCCCAGCUGCCAUGGCAAACUAGUUGUUGUGCCAGACUGGCCGGUGUGUUGAUUUUGUCGUUGAGUAGUUUAGCCGUCGUGUCGGUCAUCGUGCCCGUCUAGCUACCACGCUGAAUCAGUCGCCGCGCCAGUCUUGCCACUGUGCCAGCCUAGCCGCCUUGUCAAACUUCUUCUCUCAUUUUCACUUCUCUUAUCUCUUUUCUUCUCUUCUCUUCUCUCAUUCUUUUUCGUCUCUUUGGAAGGUUUAGCGAGAGUUAAGCUGACCUUAGCCUUCUCUCUUAUUUCUCCUCCUCUCUCUUUCAAGGACAAACACUUUCUUUCUCUCUAUCUUCCCCUUUUUUAUUUCUUUCUUGUAAAAUAUGUACCGAGAGUCCCUCGUCAAGAGGACAUCGUGAGGCUGUUGAAUUGAUACAAAUUAUCCUAUGUUCUUUUCUAUGUCUUUCUUGAGUACACACACGCAUGUGUGCACUCACCCUGUAAUAAGGUGGGGUCCUAUGACCCACACCUCGGUAUCUUUGAUGUGUGUGUGUGCAUUUGCAGGAAAGGAGAAAACAGGUCAAAGAGCCGAUUCCAAACCGGCCACAAGCCUGGGGGGCAUUCUGAUGUGAUCUAAGAGGACGCCCAUGCGAGCUAGCCCGAGUGUGUCACAGACCCACGUGAAGUAAGUCCCACCUCAUGACCUUAAUUCAUCUCUCAUCGUUUGGUACUCCUGCUCAUGUUUUCUUUGCACGGUUCUCGAGGGAGCGGUCUCAAGUCUCGGGUUCUCAUUGAAACUCUAGACACGUACAAUCAGGUCAUCCCGACCAGGGGGCGAGAUCAAGGCAUCUAACCUCUAAGGUCGUAGUAUUAAGGCCCAACACAUAAUUGUUAUAUGCAAUGACAUAUAAUAUAAGUUACAUAAUGCAACUUACACAGAAAUUAUGUAAUUUAUCUAACGUAAAUUGCAUAAUGUAGUAAUGUAAAUCCAGGCAAGAUCAAGAUGAUAGGUGCAGGUUUUUGUUUAUUAGAAAUAGGUCACGUCAAGACUAUAUUUAUCAUUUUUCUUUGGAAUUAAAGCAAUGAAUGUGAAAUUCAUUGCAAUGUUAACUCUUCCUCCAGAAUAAGAUUCCUCUAAUAAUUGAAAUUUAUCAUUGUUCGAGGUAUCCCAGAAAGUUUGAAAGAAGGCAAUAGGAUAUUCAUUUGGCCCAAGAGCUUUAUCUCUUCCAAGGUCAAAUGCUGCAUUUUUUAUUUUUUUGUUCUUCAAAUUUCCUUUCCAAUCACUUGGCUUGUUCGCGAGGUAGUCUAGUAAAGGGAAGAUCUUGGAUAGAAGGGCCAAGUUCACUUUCAGCCACAAAGGCCUUCUUAAAGUAGUUAACCACAACCUUUUCAACAUCCAGUCCAUUACCACAAUCUAACCCUUCAAUUCUAAGAUUUUGGAGAGUUACCUCUUUUUCUAGCAUUAGCAAUAACAUAAAAAAAUCUCGUGUUUGUAUCCCCUUCCUUGAACAAUUUCACACAUGAUCUUCGCCUCCAAUGAAUCUCUUUCAAUCUAAGCAAUUGCUUGUAUGAAGCCACCAAUAAGCUUCUAUCUCUGACUUGAUCUUGGGUUAGAUAUCCUCCCAUAAACUACAAAUUAUCUAUCUCCUCAAUGUGAUUUUUCGCUUCGCCAAUUUUUUAUUAUAGAUCCCCCAAAACGUUCCUCCUCCAAAUAAUAAUCUUUUGUUUCAAAAGUUGUAAUUUUUUUAUAAUUGAAAUCCCUUUCCAACUUUUAAUUUUUGUGUUUUUUCAGAAUUCUUCUACUAAGCUGAACAUAGAUCUCUCUGACAGCCAAGACAACUCGAAUCUAAAAAGGGAGGGUCCAAAUGAAAAUUCAUUAGAAUUAAGUAAAAGUGUACAUGAUCUGAAGAUAUUUUAAGAAGAGCUUUCACACUAAUACUUGGAAAUCGAAUAACAAUUUCAGAUGAAAUUAGAAACCUAUCCAACCUUGUCAAAACUAGAUCUUGCAAAUUAUGAUUGGACUGAGUGAAGUUAGCUCCAAUUGAAGGAAGAUCAAUCAAUUCAUGCUGCCGAAUAGAAUUUUCAAAAAUAUGCGUACAAGGAGAAAUAGGCGGAGAAGAUGAAGAUUCACUUGGCCAUCUAAUAGCAGUAAAAUCUCCAUAAACAAACCAUGGUAAAUUUAAAUUAACCUGGAUAUUAGAUAGUUCAUAAAAAAGGCAGUUCUUUCAUCAGCUCUGUUAGGACCAUACACCACAGAUAAACAUCAAGAGAAAUGGUCCUAAAGGCUCUUGAAACAAAAUAGAGAUGUGUCUGGGAGCAUUUUGGAUAGCAGACAAAACCAAUGAGUCCCAAAGCACCCAUAUACCACCUGAGGAGCUUGAAGCAUCAACACUCACAAAAUCCAAAGAUCUAUUUCCCCAAACCAAUCUAGUUGUGUGGAGGGUCGGGGCCUCCAUUUUAGUUUCCUAAAUCAGCAAGAGAUCAGGCCUUUCCUUUCUGCAAACCGAAAGUACAUCUCUCUUGCGCGAUUCGCUAUUUAGGCUCCUGAUAUUCCAACAUAGCACCUUGAUUUCGACAUAUAACCCUCUCUAUGGUUGGUGAUCCUCGAAGGACCAGCAAACAUUUGUAAAGUGGGCUCAAACUAGGCACGAGUGCUAGAGUUUACCUCUCCUUUGUCAUAGUUGAUGUGGCACACUAAAUUGUCAAGCUCUGUUUGGAGUCACCCUUUCUUUUAUUAAUACUAGCUAGAACACUUGCGAGUGUCUAAAAGUACAACUUUAUUCAUUAAAUAUACCCUAAUACAACCUAGGAUCUUCUCUUACAUACAAUUAUAAUGCUUUAUAAUACUAAAAAAAUAAAAUGCAUGAAGAAUCAAGAAAUAUGGAGCAAUUAGAAUUACCAAUUACCUUGCCUCUGGUUACCCCCAAGGACUUCGUACACCCCACACCAGGUCUCCUCCAUUAAUAGUGCACGAUAUCUUGGUCUAGCCUCAUCUCAUAACUAGGGAAGCCUAGGCGAAACCUCUUGAGAGUAUGACAUUGGGAUGGGACUUUGAUCAAAGCUCAACACGAGAGCAAAUCUCAAUGCACACAAGCUAGAGGUGUGCCACCCUUAUGGGUUGGGUGUGCCCUCCUUAGGGUUCUACCUUCUACAUAUUAAACCUAAGCUAAGUUGAGAGAGAGAGAGAGAGAGAGAAAGGCGUGACUUCCGAAGGAUUCAGAGAGAGAGAGAGAGAGAGAGAGAGAAGAGAGAGAGAGAGAGAGAAGGCUAGUAAAAAGGUGUAAAGAAAAGACCCCCCCAUAGAGAGUAUUUAUAGUAUAAAGGCUUUUUUAGGGUAGAUUUUUGCCAUCAUUAUGAGAUUGAAUCUUGACUUUUGAUCAUGGAGAUCUAUGGGGUGAAGAUAUAUCGUCCAUUCAUUCUUUAGAUAAGCCAUCAUGAUUAAAAAGAAUGAGAUGGAACCAUUAUCUCUCAGUUUCCAUAACUUUAUUCCCAUCAAUUAUUGUGUAGAGAAAAUAGUAUCUUUUUGCAUAUCAAUUUUAAUUAAUCUUUACACUUUCCUAUUUGAAAUUAAUCAAAAUUUUUAUAUAACAUUUUCCUUUAUUUUUCCAAUCAAGAAGGUGGCUUAGCACACGAGCCGCACAAAAAGGAAAGGAGGGAGCGUGGUGCUCCACACAUGGAGAGCCAUGUGGCCCCCACGUGCCCACAAAAAUGGAUUCGAAUAAUGGUGGGCCCAAAGUCCCAAUGGGGCCCCACACCUAAAUAAACUUUUUGAAAUAUUAAAAUGAAUUUUAGAAAACCUUUAAAUAUUUUAAUUUGCUCUCUGAUUAAAAUAAAUCCAAAAAAUUGAUUUUUCUCCAUUUAAAAAUCCCUUUUCAUUAAAAUAAAAUAUCCAGAGAGGUCUAAAAGUUUAUUUUAAUUAUCUAAAAUAUAAUUAAAUCAUAAUUAAACAUAUUUAAUAAGAUUUGAUGAGAAUUGGAUCUAAAAAGUUAGAAAUAUAACAAAUAUAUUGAGGAUUCCAUCAUUUAUAGAAAUCGUAUCUCACUACACCUUUUCAAACUGACCCAAAAGUUCUCAUGGCCCAUAAUCCUUCAAGGGGCUUAGGGACUAUCAAAGUCAACCAAUAUAUAAAGGAAACACGAUCCUAGUCCAUGGAUUACAUGUCACUCCCUGAGGACAAGUCUAUGCUCCAUUCCGACACUAUGCUCCAUGGGUCUUUCUAACACAACCCAGUAUUGUAGGGAGUCAUCUCUUUAGCACAUAUAUACAACACACACCAUCAUCCAAUUGACUGCUUCCUGGAUGACUAUCUAGUAUACAUGGUAUGUGAUGGUAAUGAUGAGGACUUUGGCCCUUAUCAUCACACACAUGAGUCACAUCCAAUCCCUUGGCCAACCGCCUUGGGCACAAUUGUAACCUUAGCAAGAUAACCCUACAUUGAAACCCUAAUCUGUUGUGCACAAAAUGCCCAGGGUAUAGGCUUUAGACAUCACCUUGAACCAUAGCUAGUUAAUGCUCAAGUUAUUCUUGCAUUUAUAAUGCCUCAUAGUCCAAACUGGACCACACUCCCACUUGAGCCAACAUAUCACUAGAUACGAUUUCAGUAAAUGUUCUCAUAAGGCCUUUAAAUGGCUAUAUAACCCCACCUUUGAAUGACCAUAUAACCCCAACACCUCCCACUUAGCCUUUGAAGGCCUUUCAAUAACUCACCCUCACUCUCUUUCCCCCAUUACAAUCUCAUUCUCAAGUAUUUCUCACUUAUUCUCUCUUAUGCUUAUUAGAUGACCUGACGAACUCUUUUGCCAUCAUUCCUUUCACUAAGGAUUCAUGUAUAUAGCCUUCGUGGAAGUCAUGAAGUCUCUCUUUUUGCUGCUUUGAUCUCAUUCGUAGUUUGUUUUUACGUCCUCAGUAUUAGCAGUAUGAAUCAUGGACUCAUUAUCGUAGAAGAUAUUUCACGCACCCUCAUCACAUGGGGUCAUAUCUUUGCAACUCAAGGAAGUUCUUUAAUCAAGUUACUUCUUUCAUUGCCCGAAACAAAGAGGAAACAAGAUUGUUUUACCUGUAUUGUAUACACUUAUUCUUUUUCCAGUUUCCAGACUGAGCACCCUUAACCUAUGGUGUCAUAUCCCCCUAAUAAUUCAUGACAUCUCUUUGAAAUUUUUACUGUCAUAUAUCAUACCCAUGACACGCUAUGGAACUAAGAAUGACCCUGAAAAUGCUUCGAAUCAAAGGAGUACACAAAUGUGACACAUUUCAAUUUACCGCAGAAUAGAAGAUGAAAAUACGAUCUCUCAACAGAGAAUUUCUCUCUCCAACUUUUUUAAUAUUAAAAUAGACUCAAAAGUAAAAAAUUAUAGUUGGUGACAUCCCCAAAUCACACCAUUCAGUGAACUGGUAACAUUUACGUCACAAUACAAUUCAUACAACAAAAAAUCAGGAUUAGAAUCCCUCCAUUAGAAAAAUCUUUUCUGUCAAUCCACAUGGAGCUUUUCCCUCAAACAUUUUCUAUUGAAAAUUAGACUCAAAACCAAAAUUUAAUAUCACAGUUUGAAUCCCAAAUAAUAUUUUUCAGAUGGAAAUAAAUAAGUAAUGUUCACGUCAUAAAAACAUAUCAGAUUAUAGAAAUUUAUGAUGACCCUACUCCAAUAAAAUAAUAUUGUUCUCUUCAUGCCCAUGGAGUUUCUCUCUCAAUUUGUUUUUGGAAAAUAAUCUCAAAAUGCAAAUAUAAAAACUUAGAGUGGACCUCAAAACAUUUUGUUAAGAAGGGACAUAAAAUCAUGACAUUUACGAUACAAAAAUAAUUUUUGGUGCGGAAAGCAACUUUGAGCACCUUUCAAUAGAAUAACCAUAUNNNNNNNNNNNNNNNNNNNNNNNNNNNNNNNNNNNNNNNNNNNNNNNNNNNNNNNNNNNNNNNNNNNNNNNNNNNNNNNNNNNNNNNNNNNNNNNNNNCUGUAGAGGUAAGGUGCGCCUUCAAAUUUUAUUAUGGUAUAUAAUUUUGAUAUAAUAUGUUCUUAGGAUUAUUUUAAAAUCUAUUUUUAUAUCUAAUUAUAAAAUUUUAAAUUUCAAAAAUGGUUAAAAUCAAGUAGAUCUAUAAACAUAUGAAAAUCUUGAAAAUGGAUGGUGUAGAUAAUAUGUUGAAAAAUGCACUAUUUGUGAGACUUAAAAUCUCUUUUUUUCAUAGUCAUACAUCUCGAUGUCGAGAUGAUCAAUUAAAGGGUUUUUCAACGUUAAAGCUACCUUUUCCGAUGGAUUUUUUAGGUGCAUCCGUAGCUCUACAGUAUAAGGUUGCAACCUUAUAUAAACGUUUUCCUAUAUAUAUAUACUAUAAUGAAUAGUAAAAUAGGUGGAAUGAGAGCCGUUAGAUCUUUAUCAUAUGGUUCAAAAUGCAUAUCAUUAUAUGAAUUUUGAUAUGUUUUUCUAAAAAUUGGAUCAUAAUGAAAUUUUAGAAGUAUAUACUUAAAAAUAGGGCACAUAAUUAAAAAAUAUAUAUAUAAUAUUUUUCAAAAUAUAAAAUGAUUGAAAUACCCCUGAAACAUUACGGUGGUAAUUGAGUUAUUUUAAAUUAUUUAAAAUAAUUUUUUUAUAUUUUUAUAUGGUGUUCAAUAGUGUUAUGUAUGUACGCCCAAAAGUUUAUCUUAAUCAGAUUUAUGAAAAAAAUAUUAAAAUUAAAACAAUGAUAUGUAUUUUGAACCACUCGAUGAAGAUCUGAAAACUGAGAUUCCAUCUACAUUACUAUUCAUUAUAGCUGCCUAGCUAUUGUUAGCUUUUUCCAUAUAUAUAUAUAUAUAUAUAUAUAUAUAUUGAAGCCUCCUCCCAUUAUAGCAAUAGGGAAAUUUAAUUUACAUGGAAUGAAAAAGAAAGAAGGCAAUCAAGAACAUGUAAAUGAAUAUGUUAAAAAACUUUAAGUAUGAAAAAUCACUGAAAAAUAAAAAGGAGUAAAUGUUGUACAAGAAAACAAUCAGUAUACUGAUUAGGAAAUAAUAGAUAUAAAAAAUGCUUUUAAAAUAGAAAACCUAGAAAUAAAUAAAAUUGAUUACAAAAGAAAAACUAGGCCUGUAACCUAAACUAGGAUGUAUUAUCCUAGACCUACUCCUGUAGAUCUUCAAAUAGAAGAAGACCUGGUAGCAAGCUCAGUCUCUUAUUCAGAAAGUUCAUUGUAAAUUGGAAUAUAGAUGGCUUUUCUGAAGCGCAAAUGCUUGAUUUAAUGAAGCACAUGACCAUAUAUGCUAUUGCCUGUAAAGCUAAUGGUAAUAAAGACCACGAAGUUACUAAGGCUAUUAUAUGUGGAUUUACUGGAUGGCUUCGACGAUGGUGGGAUUUUUACUUACACGAAUCCGCCUGAAAUCAGAUUUUAAAUACUAUUAAACAAUGGGUUGUUAAAAAAGAAAUAGGCCCAGGACAAGUUCAAGAAACCAUAGUAGAUGAAAGAAAUGCAGUAAGCACUUUAAUCUACACAAUUACACUUCACUUUGUAGGUAGUACUGCUCUUCUAGCCGCUCGUCAAAAGAUUUAUUAUCCAAUCUUCGAUGUCCAACCCUAUCUCAUUUUAAAUGGUAUAAAGAUGUUUUUUACUUGAGACUUUUGUCAAGAGAAGAUAGCAAAACAGAUCAUUGGAAAGAAAAUUUUAGUUUAAGACUUCCAAAUCUCUUUGAUGAAAAGGUCAAGACCAGACUUAAAAACAAGCAUAAUGGUAUUGUACCAUACUCACAAUAUACAUUUGGAGAAUUAUCAGCCGAGAUUUGCGCCGAAGGCCUUGCCAUGUGCAUAGAUCUCAAACUUAAAAGACAAUUAGAUAAACAAGGAAUGACAGGCAAAAAGGAAGUUACAGAUUUUUGUGAAUCUUUUGGUUAUAAUACUCUUUUACCAUCUAGUUUACAUUAUAAAGAAAACUCUCGAAGGGAUGAAAAGUAUAAGAAGUAUAAAUCAUCAUCGAAGAGGGACCAGUCUUCUAAAGCGAAAGGAACAUUUUAUAAAAAAUGUGUGAGAUGCUAAUCUUUUUAAAAAAAGGGAGAAAGAAAAGGACACGUUUGUUUUAAUUUUGGUAGAGUAGGACAUUAUAAAAACAAAUAUAGAGUAAAAAAAAAGAUUAAUUCCCUUUGAGUAUAGUAUCAAAAGACAAUUAUACAAUCUUCUUUUACAAAAAUUAGAAUCAUCGAAUAGCUCUUCUGAAUCUGGUGAAGAAAUGUUAAUCAGAGAAAUUGAAGAUGAAGAAUUAAUUCUUUCACGUUCUGACUCCGAUCCGAAUGAUGGUGACAACCAAAAUCAUGGUGAGUCUUGUCAAUGUAAUUUUUAUAAAGCCAUUAUUGAUAUGAAUGGGUUGAGUUUAGAUACUCUCCCAAAAGAAAAAAAAUCUAAUUAUCGAGCUGAUUGAUAAGUAACUAAGAAGGAAGCUUUAGUUCAAUACAUCAAUAUGGGAAAAAACAGUUCCAAGCAUUCCACUCCUAAGGCUUCUCUUAUUUCUACUAGAGAAGACUAUAGUUUUAUAGAAAUCUUGAGAUGCCUCUUUGAAGAGGGAGUCCCUCCUUUUAUAGACCCUUAUUAUCGGUGGACUUGAACUUGUUUGAAGUCCGCAUCGUGUCGGUGGACUUGAAUUAGUUUGAAAUUCGCACAAUAGAUUUUCGGUGGACUUGAAUUAGUUUGAAAUUCACACAAUAGAUUUUCGGUGGACUUGUUUUAUUUUGAAGUCUGCACAGUGACUGAAAAAUGCUAUAGUGACUGAAUAGUGAAAUUGCUACAUUGACCAUUGCUACAGUAAUUGCUACAAUGUUUUUUGUGAAAAACGUAAAUUUCUUUGUCUUUUUCCCUGUGAUUUUUCAGGUACUGUCGAGGCACGUGUCCUGGAUUGAUUGGAGUCGAACCGUCCCUUAUCUUGAACAAUAUUUUAACUUUAUUGUGAUGUGAAAGGUUCAAAGUACUCUGAAUCGAAGCCUUCUUCAUUCUAGUUUUCGUCAUCUGGCUGGGACGUAGACAUUUGUCUUCUCUUCUCGUAAGGCCAUUAAGUGCCUUCUUCUAAGCUCAACUUUGGAAAUGUGUUUUGUUUCUACUUGAUUUAAGUAGUCAAGUAAUUCAUCUGCUUCACUAGUAACAGUCAAAUUAACUGGGACAACCUUUUUAAGGGUGAUUUUAUUGGGGACAACUUGUAUGGUGGUGAAAAUAUCCCACCAUUAUAAACUUGUCUUUCAAGAUUUGGGAUAUAAUCUCACCUAUCAUUAUCAUCG